This 502-nucleotide ribosomal RNA is filed under the name uncultured bacterium. Its description in RNAcentral is "bacterial SSU rRNA". It matches the Rfam family "Bacterial small subunit ribosomal RNA", at positions 27 to 518 of the family's 1533-position model. The record is from RNAcentral.
GAACGAACGCUGGCGGCGCGCUUAAGCAUGCAAGUCGAGCGGCAAGGGCCUUCGGGCCCCUAGAGCGGCGGACGGGUGAGUAACACGUGGACAAUCUGCCCCCCGGCCCGGGAUAGCCCAGGGAAACCUGGAUUAAUACCGGAUGAGACGGGACCUGCGAUGGCGGGAUCCGGGAAAGGCGCUACGGCGCCGCCGGGGGAUGAGUCUGCGUCCCAUUAGCUAGACGGCGGGGUAACGGCCCACCGUGGCGACGAUGGGUAGCCGGCCUGAGAGGGUGGACGGCCACAUUGGAACUGAGACACGGUCCAGACUCCUACGGGAGGCAGCAGCUAAGAAUCUUCCGCAAUGGGCGAAAGCCUGACGGAACGAACCGCCGCGUGAACGAAGAAGGCCGUGAGGUUGUAAAGUUCUUUUCGGGAGGGGGAACAACCGUGGCAGGGAAUGGCCGCGGGAUGACGUGAAUCCCGGAAUAAGCCCCGGCUAACUACGUGCCAGCCGCAGC